RNAcentral lists this ribosomal RNA (301 nucleotides) under uncultured bacterium. RNAcentral describes it as "partial 16S ribosomal RNA". It matches the Rfam family "Bacterial small subunit ribosomal RNA", at positions 509 to 807 of the family's 1533-position model. The record is from RNAcentral.
CAGCCGCCGCGGUAAGACGGAGGGUGCUAGCGUUGUUCGGAAUCACUGGGCGUAAAGGGCGCGUAGGCGGCCUGUUAAGUCGGAUGUGAAAGCCCGGGGCUCAACCCCGGAACUGCAUCCGAGACUGGCAGGCUUGAGACCGGGAGAGGAGGGUGGAAUAUCCAGUGUAGAGGUGAAAUUCGUAGAUAUUGGAUGGAACACCGGUGGCGAAAGCGGCUCUCUGGCCCGGAUCUGACGCUGAGGCGCGAAAGCGUGGGGAGCAAACAGGAUUAGAUACCCGCGUAGUCCCUGUCUCUUAUAC